AAAGACUUAGUCCUAACCUUACUGUUAAUUCUUGCUAAAUAUAUACAUGCAAGUAUCCGCGUCCCAGUGUAAAUGCCCUUGAUUUCUUGUUAAGAAAAAAGGAGCGGGUAUCAGGCACGCCCAAAGUGUAGCCCAAGACGCCUUGCUCAGCCACACCCCCACGGGUACUCAGCAGUAAUUAACAUUAAGCAAUAAGUGAAAACUUGACUUAGUUACAGCAACUUCAGGGUUGGUAAAUCUUGUGCCAGCCACCGCGGUCACACAAGAGACCCAAAUUAACAGUAUGCGGCGUAAAGAGUGGUACUAUGAUAUCACAACAACUAAGACCAAAGCACAACUAAGCUGUCAUAAGCUCAAGAUGUGUCUAAGACUCCCUUCAAAAUGAUCUUAGCGCUUCUGAUUAAUUUAAGCCCACGAAAGCUAAGACACAAACUGGGAUUAGAUACCCCACUAUGCUUAGCCCUAAAUCUUGAUGUCUUCCCACUACUAAAGCAUCCGCCCGAGAACUACGAGCACAAACGCUUAAAACUCUAAGGACUUGGCGGUGCCCCAAACCCACCUAGAGGAGCCUGUUCUAUAAUCGAUAACCCACGUUACACCCGACCGCUCCUUGCCUAGAGGCAGCCUACAUACCGCCGUCGCCAGCUCACCUCCCUGAGAGAUCAAUAGUGAGCACAAUAGCCCAAACCCGCUAACAAGACAGGUCGAGGUAUAGCCUACGAAGCGGAAGAAAUGGGCUACAUUUUCUAAAAUAGAAAAUCUACGGAAGGGGGCGUGAAACCACCCCCCGAAGGCGGAUUUAGUAGUAAAGCGGGACCAUAUAAGCCCCCUUUAAAUCGGCCCUGGGGCACGUACAUACCGCCCGUCACCCUCCUCACAAGCUAUAAAUCUAUAAUCCCUAAUACAACCGCCAGCCGAAGAUGAGGUAAGUCGUAACAAGGUAAGUGUACCGGAAGGUGCACUUAGCAUAU
This 971-nucleotide ribosomal RNA is filed under the name Limosa fedoa. Its description in RNAcentral is "12S ribosomal RNA". It matches the Rfam family "Bacterial small subunit ribosomal RNA". The record is from RNAcentral. Lineage: Eukaryota; Metazoa; Chordata; Aves; Charadriiformes; Scolopacidae.